GACGAACGCUAACGGUAUGCUUAACACAUGCAAGUCGAACGGCAGCACGGUCGUAGCAAUACGAUGGGUGGCGAGUGGCGGACGGGUGAGUAAUGCAUAGGAAUCUGCCUUGUAGUGGGGGAUAACCCGGGGAAACUCGGGCUAAUACCGCAUAAUCUUUACGAAGCCAAGUGGGGGACCGUAAGGCCUCCCGCUAUAAGAUGAGCCUAUGUCGGAUUAGCUAGUUGGUAGGGUAAAGGCCUACCAAGGCAACGAGCCGUAGCUGGUCUGAGAGGAUGAUCAGCCACACUGGGACUGAGACACGGCCCAGACUCCUACGGGAGGCAGCAGUGGGGAAUAUUGGACAAUGGGCGCAAGCCUGAUCCAGCAAUACCGUGUGUGUGAAGAAGGCCUUAGGGUUGUAAAGCACUUUUAGUGGGAAAGAAAAGCUCAUGGUUAAUAUCCAUGAGUGCUGACGUUACCCACAGAAAAAGCACUGGCUAACUCUGUGCCAGCAGCCGCCGUAA
This 506-nucleotide ribosomal RNA is filed under the name uncultured bacterium. Its description in RNAcentral is "partial 16S ribosomal RNA". It matches the Rfam family "Bacterial small subunit ribosomal RNA", at positions 28 to 523 of the family's 1533-position model. The record is from RNAcentral.